Molecule: long non-coding RNA, 963 nt
Organism: Bombyx mori (domestic silkworm)
Lineage: Eukaryota; Metazoa; Arthropoda; Insecta; Lepidoptera; Bombycidae
Exons: 2
Source: RefSeq, a predicted model, not a curated record
GAUCCUCGGCCGGUCAGUCCUGCACGCACUGUUAACUUGCAAUCAUGCCGAUCAACGCGGAGACCGUGAACCUCGCAGCCACGUACAUGAUCCUCGUCAUCUUGCUCUUCUGCCUGUGGCUACUGUAUUCCACCGUCUUCUAAAGUGAAAUGAGAACACUGUAAGUCUUCAAUUUACGACAGUACUGUGUGUUCGUAGUCAGUUUUUGGAAUCCCCGCAGUUAUCAACAGUCGGACGUCGGUAUGUACUUAUGUUCAUAUUUAUAAAUAUGAGAAUAUUCGGCGUGAGAUGGAGGCGUGGCGUCGCGUAGGCGCACAGCCGCUGGACGACAUUCUAGGUGUCCACUCAGUUCCUUGUGACCGCUUGCGAAGUGAAGGCUCCCGCGAACGCCACCAUGCCUAACCACGAGACCACCAACCUCAUCGCCACCUACUGCAUCCUGGUGCUGCUGCUGGCCAGCCUGUGGCUCCUCUACUCGGGGAUGUUCUGAGGUGCUUCUCGUCGACUCAUUCUUCGCCCUACGAUCUAAUGCGAUGCAGACAAGAUAAGCCAACUCGAAGGAGAUCAUACGAGGAUGGCGGAUUAAACGAACCAAAAAAAAAUCAAAAAAAUACAAACAAUAUCUCUAAGAAACCGUAAUAUUAGCACUUAAGUUAUUUAUAAGUUAGUUUUGUACAAUCCCGAGCAUUUAAAUAACUUGAAUGGUUGACAGCAUUGGAUAUUCGUACGCAGACGAUCGGCAAUGAAAAACAAUAAACAGCAAUGUACACAACAUGCAAAUAAAAUGUGACAUAGUUUACGUGCUGGGCAUUCCAAUUGAACUGAAGCAUUAGGAAAUGUGAAAGACAUCUCUGUAAUGUCAUGUUUCAUUAUAAAAUGGACGUUACUUCUCUUGUUGAACAUCUUUGAGAUAAUUUAUUCUUGUUGAAUAACUAAGUUUUGGAAUAAAGUUUUUUUAUUUUA